UUAAAUUGAAGAGUUUGAUCAUGGCUCAGAUUGAACGCUGGCGGCAGGCCUAACACAUGCAAGUCGAACGGUAACAGGAAGCAGCUUGCUGCUUCGCUGACGAGUGGCGGACGGGUGAGUAAUGUCUGGGAAACUGCCUGAUGGAGGGGGAUAACUACUGGAAACGGUGGCUAAUACCGCAUAACGUCG
This 189-nucleotide ribosomal RNA is filed under the name Salmonella enterica subsp. enterica serovar Typhimurium str. CDC_2009K1283. Its description in RNAcentral is "partial 16S ribosomal RNA". It matches the Rfam family "Bacterial small subunit ribosomal RNA", at positions 1 to 181 of the family's 1533-position model. The record is from RNAcentral. Lineage: Bacteria; Pseudomonadati; Pseudomonadota; Gammaproteobacteria; Enterobacterales; Enterobacteriaceae.